GACGAACGCUGGCGGCGUGCUUAACACAUGCAAGUCGAACGACGAAGCCUAGCUUGCUAGGUGGAUUAGUGGCGAACGGGUGAGUAAUACGUGAGUAACCUACCUUUAACUCUGGGAUAAGCCUGGGAAACUGGGUCUAAUACCGGAUACGACCAAUCUCCGCAUGGGGUGUUGGUGGAAAGCGUUAUGUAGUGGUUAUAGAUGGGCUCACGGCCUAUCAGCUUGUUGGUGAGGUAACGGCUCACCAAGGCGACGACGGGUAGCCGGCCUGAGAGGGUGACCGGCCACACUGGGACUGAGACACGGCCCAGACUCCUACGGGAGGCAGCAGUGGGGAAUAUUGCACAAUGGGCGCAAGCCUGAUGCAGCGACGCCGCGUGAGGGAUGACGGCCUUCGGGUUGUAAACCUCUGUUAGCAGGGAAGAAGAGAAAUUGACGGUACCUGCAGAGAAAGCGCCGGCUAACUACGUG
RNAcentral lists this ribosomal RNA (471 nucleotides) under uncultured bacterium. RNAcentral's name for it is "partial 16S ribosomal RNA". It matches the Rfam family "Bacterial small subunit ribosomal RNA", at positions 28 to 507 of the family's 1533-position model. The record is from RNAcentral.